AUGCGGGUAGUUCAGUCGUAGAACAUUCCCCUUAUACGGGAAAGGUCGCGCGGUGCAAAUCCCGCCCCGCAUACCA
This 76-nucleotide transfer RNA is filed under the name bacterium. RNAcentral's name for it is "tRNA-Ile". It matches the Rfam family "tRNA". Rfam says of the family: Transfer RNA (tRNA) molecules are approximately 80 nucleotides in length. Their secondary structure includes four short double-helical elements and three loops (D, anti-codon, and T loops). The record is from RNAcentral.